Molecule: ribosomal RNA, 491 nt
Filed under: uncultured bacterium
Lineage: Bacteria
Description: partial 16S ribosomal RNA
Rfam family: Bacterial small subunit ribosomal RNA
Source: RNAcentral
AUUGAACGCUGGCGGCAUGCUUUACACAUGCAAGUCGAACGGUAACAGGCCUUCGGGUGCUGACGAGUGGCGAACGGGUGAGUAAUGCAUCGGAACGUACCCAGAGGUGGGGGAUAACGCAGCGAAAGCUGUGCUAAUACCGCAUGUGAUCUGAGGAUGAAAGCGGGGGACCGAGCAGCAAUGUUUGGCCUCGCGCCUUUGGAGCGGCCGAUGUCAGAUUAGCUAGUUGGUGGGGUAAAGGCCUACCAAGGCGACGAUCCGUAGCUGGUCUGAGAGGACGACCAGCCACACUGGGACUGAGACACGGCCCAGACUCCUACGGGAGGCAGCAGUGGGGAAUUUUGGACAAUGGGCGCAAGCCUGAUCCAGCAAUGCCGCGUGCGGGAAGAAGGCCUUCGGGUUGUAAACCGCUUUUGGCAGGAACGAAACGGUGUCCGCUAAUACCGGGCGCUAAUGACGGUACCUGCAGAAUAAGCACCGGCUAACUACGU